This 613-nucleotide unclassified non-coding RNA is filed under the name Hevea brasiliensis (rubber tree). The record is from RNAcentral. Lineage: Eukaryota; Viridiplantae; Streptophyta; Magnoliopsida; Malpighiales; Euphorbiaceae.
UGCCUACAGUAGAAGGACUAAUCAGUUAUUUCUUUUAUCGCCCCAAACAUGCCAAGAUUAGCAUUGAUGGUACGUAAAUGCAACUCGUUGGUCAAACAACUAUUCAGAGUUCCUAGAGCUCCUUGUAAGGCUUGUUGGAAAACCCGUUGUCGGACUUGAUUAAUCGUUCGUUGUUGUUCAAAAUGAAUGGUUUCAUUUUUGUAAUUUUCUAAUUGUUCCAAAGUCUUAUAAGUUGAAUUAAUCAAAUUCCAUUUUUCUCGUUCUAUCUCAGAAUAUCCAUUCGUUCGAAACUGAUCUGCUUCUAUUUCCACUUUCCGUAAGCGGGCCCGGGCUUUUUCCAGCUGUUCAAUAGCCCCCUCGCGUAGUUUUUCUGAAUUUCGAAUAGUAUCCAAAAUCCUUUGUUUUCGAUUAUCUAAUAAAUCACUUAACACUCCCUUUCCAAAAAAAAUCAAUACACCAAGGACUACACUUAGAUUUAUUAGAUUUGUUGCUAAAAUAUCGGUAUUAAACCCGAAACUCCCGGCGGAUGGCCAGUGACCCAAGGAAACGAAAGAAUCGGUUACAUUUUUCAUAUGAUCUCCUCUUUUCUUAUAGACUAUAGACAGACUAAUUA